GGGGAUUUAGCUCAGUAGCUGAAGCACUUGCCUGGUAAGCAUGAGGUUGUAAGUUCGAUCCAUAGUACCCA
This 71-nucleotide transfer RNA is filed under the name Cavia porcellus (domestic guinea pig). It matches the Rfam family "tRNA". Rfam says of the family: Transfer RNA (tRNA) molecules are approximately 80 nucleotides in length. Their secondary structure includes four short double-helical elements and three loops (D, anti-codon, and T loops). The record is from Rfam by way of RNAcentral. Lineage: Eukaryota; Metazoa; Chordata; Mammalia; Rodentia; Caviidae.